AUCAGAACCAAGUGCACUAACAAGUCUUCAGAUAAAUCCAACUUGAGUGCCUUUAGUUUUGAAACAAUGUGAGACAUUUCCAUAAUGUACUCCCGAAUGUUUCCUUUCCCUUUAUACCUCAUUGAGACAAGAUUUUCCAAAAGUGUACUUGUUUCAGCAUUUUCAUUCUUGGCAAACCUCUUCUCAAGGUCCUCAAGGAAACCCUUAGCCGUAGUCACCUUAUCGGAUAUAGUGCCCCGGAAUGCUUCUGGAAUAGCACGCUUCAUGACCAUUAAGCUUAUGCGGUUCGAUCGUUCCCACUUUUCCAUCUCCCUCUUAUCAUCAGAGGUACUCUUAUCAGUAAGUGCAGCAGGUUGAUCGACCCGUAAAGCAAGGUCUAGGUCCAUGACUCCGAGAACAAUCAUAACGUUCUCUUGCCAUGCCCUGAAGUUUGUGCCAUUUAACAUUGGAAUUGAAUUGAUGCUAGCAGAGAUAUUAGCAGCAGAACCUGAAACUGAAUUAGAGAACAUUUAUUAUGAAUAGCUCACAUGAAUAUCUUUAAUAUGCA
RNAcentral lists this long non-coding RNA (547 nucleotides) under Olea europaea subsp. europaea. The record is from RNAcentral. Lineage: Eukaryota; Viridiplantae; Streptophyta; Magnoliopsida; Lamiales; Oleaceae.